AUGGAUGUUGAGACAUGUUGAAGGACUUUUGAGAAAGGUUUCUUUGCCCUAACUGAGCUUUUCUUAGAAGUUGAAUGGAAAUGGCAGUUGCUGAGUUUAGGUAGCGUGUGCUAAGGGAAUAGAUACUGUUUUCAAAGCUAGGAAAUGAUUUAUCAUUAAUGUGGCUCUUUCUUUUAAAAGGGCAGACAUUAUUUUUAUUUAUUUUAUUUUUUCUUUUUAAUUGCCAUAAUUUCUCAAGAGUCCAAAUCCCUAAUUUCCCUUCCUCAUAUUCAAUUUUACCCAAAUUCCUUGC
RNAcentral lists this long non-coding RNA (292 nucleotides) under Lathyrus oleraceus (garden pea). Its description in RNAcentral is "Pisum sativum (pea) long non-coding RNA (PSAT_LNC015062)". Lineage: Eukaryota; Viridiplantae; Streptophyta; Magnoliopsida; Fabales; Fabaceae. The record is from RNAcentral.